GAUGAAGAACGCAGCGAAAUGCGAUAAGUAAUGCGAAUUGCAGAAUUUCCGUGAGUCAUCGAAUCUUUGAACGCACAUUGCGCCCUUUGGUAUUCCUUAGGGCAUGCCUGUUCGAGCGUCAUUUGAAACCUCAAGCUCAGCUUGGUGUUGGGUGUCUGUCCCCGCCUCACCGCGGGGACUCGCCUCAAAAUCAUUGGCGGCCGGUACGUUGGCUUCGAGCGCAGCAGAAACGCGAACUCGAGGCCCGGCGGAUCGGCGACCAGAAGUCACUUCUUCACAGUUUGACCUCGGAUCAGGUAGGGAUACCCGCUGAACUUAAGCAUAUCAAUAAGCGGAGGA
Molecule: unclassified non-coding RNA, 339 nt
Filed under: soil metagenome
Description: partial contains 5.8S ribosomal RNA, internal transcribed spacer 2, and large subunit ribosomal RNA
Rfam family: 5.8S ribosomal RNA (bases 1-121)
Source: RNAcentral